RNAcentral lists this ribosomal RNA (354 nucleotides) under Triticum aestivum (bread wheat). Its description in RNAcentral is "partial small subunit ribosomal RNA". Lineage: Eukaryota; Viridiplantae; Streptophyta; Magnoliopsida; Poales; Poaceae. The record is from RNAcentral.
AUGGAUUGGAACCCUCAAAUACUUUGCUGGAACGUGAGAGGGCUCAACAACCCCGCCAAGAGACAUGCAGUUAGGGAGUUUGUAGUCGCAGCAAAGGUCAACCUUGUAUGUCUUCAAGAAACUAAGCUUGAAGCUUUCGAUCCCUAUUUGGUUAUGCAAUGCAUCGGACCAUCUUUUGAUGGUUUUGCCUACUUGCCUGCUUCAGACACUAGGGGUGGCAUCCUUCUGGGUUGGGACAACACGCUUUUGGUAAUCAACAACAUCUCACGGGAUACUAACUUCCUCUCGGGCUUGGUGCGUAACAAGGACGGCUUCGAGUGGUGGUUAUCGGUUGUGUACGGGCCCCAAGGUGAU